RNAcentral lists this long non-coding RNA (6298 nucleotides) under Triticum aestivum (bread wheat). RNAcentral's name for it is "long non-coding RNA (TAES_LNC015819)". Lineage: Eukaryota; Viridiplantae; Streptophyta; Magnoliopsida; Poales; Poaceae. The record is from RNAcentral.
AAUAAUAUUGAUUAAUACCACCACUAGAAGCCAGGAAGCAUCGAACUUGAAGCGGGAAGAGGUCAUAGAUUGGUUUAAGCCAUCGUCCAAUAUGAUGGGAGCAUCAACUACAUACUUUUAAAUUCUUUUUUUUUAUUUUGGAUAUAUUAAACAUUUAUUAUGCGACGCAGCCUAUAACUCGAAAUAUCAUGUCAAUUAAAACUGCAAAGUCAUGAACUAGCCUGAUGGCAAUACGAACUAUAUAUAACUAACACGACAAUGCCUACUUAUCAACAUCGGUGUAAAAGAAAAGCACUUGUCAUAAAUCUAUGGCUGAUGGAAAGUAAUUACCUCGUACUCAAAGCUUAUUGUAAGUCAACAAUCAUUUCCUGCAUGCUUUACCUGCAAAUUAAAGUGGAGCUUGACCCUAUUAUCAUGAUGUAAUGGACUCAAGUUAUUUAAAUGAUGUGGAUCUUACUCUUACAUGAGAAGGCAUCAAGGCUGUCCCUGAUUGUAGAUUGACCAAGCUUAGGUUGGUAAAUGAACACAUUUACACUGAAAACAGAAACAUGUAAUACCAUACAUUAGUUUCAAGUAAUUCCCAUGUUACCAUGAGCACGACGAGUUCAAGAAAGAAGAAAAAAUCUCAUACCAGUCUAACGGGAUUUAUUCUAAUAGCUACAUGACGAAUGUCUUGUAAAGUGAGUUCAUAUGCAGUCGAACGGGACGUAUAAUAAUAGCUGCCAAAUCAAAACAUCAAUAGAUAACUACAAUUAGUUUAUAUACAGCCAAGCAAACAAGUGACAUAAAAAGUCCAAAGCAUUAUUUUUCAGUGAGAAAAUAAGUGAUCAAAAAAUUCAAUAUAAUUUCACUUUUACAACUUUAAUAUUUUAAUAGACAAAUCACAAAUUGUAUCUAUUGCAUUUUUUUGUGCAAAACUAUUUUGUUUAAAAAAUAUUUUGUAACUUAAAGAAAUACUAAAGAAAUACAUCAUAAAAACUAUUUUGUAACUUAAAGAAAUACUAAAUAAACAAAUUUGUUUUAAACAUGUUUGGAUCUUUUACAUCUUCUCUGAUUUAUUAGCAGACAUACUCCGUUGCAAUCCUUCGGUGUAUAGAUUAUUAUGAGUUAAUAAAUUAAAUAUUCCACUUUGUCUGUGAUAGUAAAAUAAGAUUGUAUUAAAUCUACAGAUAUGAUUACCCUAAUAAAGAUAUAAUGCUUGUACAUACAGACGACCACGGGGAGGAGGAAAAGGAAGUAUAUUUUACUUCCUUUCCUGUUGUAUUCACAGACAAAGUGGGCUGAAAUAAUGUAAUCGGGAAUAUAUUAUCUGAUACUGGUAGAAAGAUCAGAUCCGUCCACAAUUUAUAACAUGUUAUAGAUGGAAAUGAAUAACUGCUUUAAUUAAACGACGUUGAUCAUUUGGAAGGCAAUAUCAACUCUCCAAUUUAUUAGAUGUCACGGUAACAAAAUUAUAAACUCCAUCUGCCUACUAUUUAACCACCCACCCAAACUCACAUAUAUCCCAUCAGCAAUUUCCGAUCGAGAAGUAAAGAACUAAAUUUCUAUAUCCAAUGGAGGCGAUCAUUGGGAACGCUGCACAUGCACCUGAAGAGGGUGCGCCUGCGGCCCAGGAGGAUGUUCCCGGUCCCCAGGAGGAUGUGCCUGCGCCCAUGGAUGUUUUGCACCCACCAAUGCAUGCCGUUGAAGAUGCACUACAAACAUAUUUCACUUUAUCAUGGGCAUUCGAGACCAAGAUACAUUAAAGUAAGUUGUCUUAUUAUACAUUAUUUUACUAUAUACAGAUAAUGCUGGAAAACUGUUUUACACACCAAGGUAAGAUAGCUAGAUGGGCAAUCUUAAAACAUUCAUAUGUACAUGUAUAAGUUUUUUAGUUCAAUCCGACGCUACAUGAAGAGUGACAUGCACAACCCAUGAAUUAAGGUUCUAGAUUUGAUACGUGUAUGUACAUCUAGGUGAGGACAAUCUGACCUCGUGCAAUGUCAUGCGAUCUAAACAUGAAUUCGGUUUAUAGGUUAGUAUAGACAAAGUUAAACUAGAAGACGACCAUUGAUGUCUUUUGUUGGGCAUUUUUUUCCAGCUUAAUAUGGAUAAGAAGCUCCCGGCCGUACCAGAUCGACAUCAGCCUCCGAAUGAUCCAGGACACCCUUUUUUUCAUACAAAACUUCAUCCCGAAUGCUUCAACCUUGUUGUACGUAAGCUUGCCAGCGCUGAAUUAGAGAGGACCGCAGGCACCAACUGGGUUGGGAGCAAACAUUAUUUCGACUUGCAGUUUCAUGCUCAGUCACAGGCCCUGAGGUACUCCUGGAUGACUCAAGGAGAGCGCAUCACGACGCUGAUUAACUAUGUUGUGGUCCAGCCUCUUCCUAAAUAUGAUGUGUUCAACUCUAUAAUUAUAAGAGAAGCUCAUUCCUAAAGUUAGUUUUACUUACUAUAAUAGCAAUUGAUAUGUGUCGAUCUGCCACAGUAUCUACUAUCCUUGAAACUUUCGGAUUCGUCAUACGGGUUACUUGUAGUCAACCGGCUGAGGAGGAGGGUUGUCGUGAUGGAUCCGUCCUUCAACACGUUUGAUCCUGAAGAUAGCACUCAUAACAUAUUGAUGAGGAAGGAAAUCACACUGCUGAAGGAAGAAUUCAACACUGUGUUGCAGACUAGGAUCGCUGGUUGGAAUAACCAAAUCAUGGAUUGGGAACAAGAUACCAUGUCCUGUGCUGCUCGUCGGUAAAAUACUAAAUUUAUCACAUAUAUAAGAUGCAGACCUUUAUAAUGUUUAAUAUUUAUUUAUUUUGUCGCAGCAAACACUCCGGCUUCUUUGUGCUACAGGAGAUGGCCUACCAGAUUGGUCGUUUGCGUAGCAUGGGCUGGAUGAACACUACCGUAAGUACAAAAAAGAUGAGUUGAUGUGUGCUAAUUAAAAUCCAACCAGUUUAUUAAAUGUUUUGAGUUUUUGCACCUUUCCUAGGAUCCUAUACAGCUCAAACAUCAAGCUACGGUCCACAUGUUAAUGUUCAAAGGCAAUGAAGCUGCUGCAAACAUCCCGCCAGAGAUUAAGCGGCCCUGAGGGUUUUAAGCAACUGAAGAAGGACUGAUGCAUGCAGAUAUGCCAAGAAAGUUUGCCUACACUACAGAUUUUUUAUGGAACGUUUUGAUAAUUAUUUAUUUUUGAUAUGAAUAAUUAGAUAAUAAGUUAGUGGGGUCCUCUAUAGACGUAUGUUCAAAAAGAUUAGGAUGUUUUGGUAUUAUCAACCUAUUCGAACUUUAUGCUGUUUUGGUAUUAUUGAAGUUUGGUUUUAUUACCAUAUUGUUGGAUUAUUAAUCUAUUUUGUUGCAACAUCAUGAACGAAUCAUUUGGUUUUCUGCCAUGACUGAGCAUUUAGCUCCAUUUCGGAAGCUGUACUGGUGUAAUAGGGCUUGACGCUAGACUAGAUGAGCAGCCAGAGUUUAAUGUUCUACGGCAAAUGCAUGUGUGUGCAGAGGAUAUUUACAUCUUUCGGCGGCAGCAUUGUGCCUCCAACUGUUUCUGCACCUACUAUCAUUUUCCGCCGUUAGAAUCACUCCCCAUGCCGAUCUUGAUAGUAGAUCCCCGUGCCCCUUUCCCGAUCGCUGCUCUUUCCCUAAAAAACCCCACUGGUUUCCAGCGCCUCCAACCACAACUAACUAUCGCCCACACUGCUCAUGUCGCCUAAGGCAAACCGAAGAAGGAUGUGGAGGCGGAAGUAUGUUAGAUAUGGAUCAUUAUUGGCUUGGACGUCGACGAACGGUCGUUGACAGGGCGGGGGUGGCGCAUCAAGAGUUAUCCUUCUUCCUCCAUUAUCAUAUUCCACUAGAUUGCCGGUACCAUGCCCCUCUCACUCGCCCUAUGUUCUGACCUCUGCCACGCUAGGAAUUUGAGAUGUGCAGCAAUACUAUAAGGAAGAAGAGAACGAGCAAGAAGCCGAGGUAUUGGGUACAGCAUCCGGGACAAGAGCAGGUCUUAGCCACGCAUUCAUGGCGCAGGUGAAGAUAAAUUCAGCCAUUUCCUCAGACAGGCUUUGCUCUGUCGGCGGCGCGGUCAGAGAGCAUAUUGAAGGAGCGCGCCGCCGGCCUGCUGUACGCAGUAGGUGCCUUGGUGUGCAGUGUCACGACUGCGCCCAAGCAUGGAGAUGGGUUUCCUGUAAGGUCGUGAAGCAUGCGUGUUGUCGUGCUGCCGGCUGUGCUCUGCUCUGCUCACGGAGGAUGCAGAGGGGUUGAUGGCUUUGGCGCUGGAAAGAGGAAGCUGGUUGUGCUCGAUUCGGUGGUUCAGAUAACAUACUAUGUAGCCUGUACUAUUCCUCUAUGUCUUCCUCCCGCCUAAUUGCUCUGUGUAUGACAGUUAUUCCCUGACUAUUUGUGUGCACAGAUCAAAGUAACAAUAGCAAGGAAAAUUUGAAAUAUGUGGGACCAUGAUUAAACUCGAUCUGUUUAACUCCCUCUCAAGUCACAGUUUGGUUUGGACUUUAUUGGGGGAGCUAAUGUCGAUUUGUAGUGAUUAAUCAUCCAUUUGAUUGAAAGAACCGGUGGUCUUGGGGAUCUCUAGGUGGCAGAAGAUAGACAUUUGGUGUCUUUUUGUUGCAAAUAUUUAGAGGUUGCUAGGUAGGCCAAGAUUUAUCAAUUUACUGGAAUAUUCAUAUGUUGUAUGUGGUCCUAGGCUGACACGAAAUGCUGAAUCGUAGCAGUGAAUGCAAAUUUUAUUACAUGUAUAGUACGUAGCAGAUUUAUAACUUAAUAUGCUUGUAUAAAUCCUACAACUCCCACAUUAACACACGAGCAACCCUAAAUAGUAAAGUACAUCCACGAUCAAAAGAUCCAUAAAGUCAUGAAUUAUAAUUGGCAAAAAUAACUAUAGGUAAAUACAACGUCAAUUAGUACUGAUCAACAUCAACGCUAAAAUAAAAUGUUGAUUCCAUAAAUCCACAAUUAGUAUUGGUUACCUUUGGCAUCGGGAAACCAUGGAUAAUCUGGAAUUGACAGCAUUCAUCUAACAUGUGUGGUCUCUCAGAUAUUACAACUGCAACAAGCAUAAUGAGACUGUACAUUACUACCAAAGUAUGGAAUGAAGUAUUAGUACAAACUGUUAAAUCAUACAAAAUUAGUAAUUGUGGAAGAUGAGUAGUGUGCAUGCUGUGAUUUUUGUUUGUUGUAGCUAAAUUUGGCAUGCAAGCAAUGAACAUCUUUUUAUUUAAUUAAUACAGUAAUUUAAUUAAUUAGAAAGUUAUGAUUAUUUUGUUAUUUGCUUAUUUAUUAACGGGUGUGCAUUUUAUGGAAAAAGGAAAGAGAUCUGCACCAUCAACAGUGGUAUAUAUGGUAGAAAACAUUGUUAUAUAUGGUAGAACUAUAUUCAGCUUUGAUCUGCUACCCAGUUAUUCUCCGCAUGUCCUACCUAUAUAUAUGUUAACCUUCUCUGCCAUCCCUCCUCCCCCUCCUUGCUCUUCCUUCGGCCAUCAGAACAGCUGACCUGGACGAAAAUUUCCCAAGGAGUACCUUGUGUAAGCAAGGAGCAUCUUUAAGGCGACUUCCUCUAGGUACGAACAAUUCUGGAUCUUUAUAUUCUCUAAUAGUGUUAUAUUUCUUAUACUAGGAUCAUCUUUGGUUGAGAUAUUCUAUCAAAAGUAUGAUUUAUCUUGCAUUUCCUGUAUGUUCAUCUACAAAAUUUUGCUGGCAAUUAUGAACACGCCAUUUUCUUAAGCACAUUAUAUAGCAAAAUUAGCAUGCAUGGAAUUCUUAACAUGGCAGAGAUCAAAAAAACAAUUAUGAAAAUCUUAAUAUUAUGAUAGUCAUAAUAAUAAGUCCUUUCAUGUAAUAAAAGCCCUGUGCUUUGCACCGGUGUUAAGAAUUUUCGGGUUUUGUUUAAUUCAAUCCUAAAUUUCACAAACAACAAUUAUACACUGCUAGAAAUUGAAAAGAAAUCAUACAUGAAAAUGGUUUAUACUAAUCUUAGUUCUACUAUGGUUACUUUCACAUGAAGAAUUUUAGUCCUCCAUACAAUAUUUCCAGUAAAAUGCAUAGGCAUCAAAAUAUGAAGAGUAAAGCACCCACAUUAAUAAUAGGAGCUGUCAAUAUGGAUAGCUUUCAAUUGGAAGAGGACAUGGCUGAGCAUUAAAUUAAAAGAGAGGACACAACCUAAAAUCUUUUUCCACAUGGAUAAUAAAAAUUAAAAUUGGAGAACGAAAAAUAAGAAGAAGCCCUCACAUAUAAUCGACAUGUUGAAGGUGAGGGAGCUGACAUAUACAUCCUCUGUUCGCCACAUGCAUCCCAGUUCGCUCUGGCCCUCAUCAGUACA